CCUGGUGGCUCAGUUGGUAAAGCGUCUGCCUGCAAUUCAGGAGACCCGGGCUCGAUUCCUGGGUCAGGA
This 69-nucleotide transfer RNA is filed under the name Bos taurus (domestic cattle). It matches the Rfam family "tRNA". From Rfam's summary of the family: Transfer RNA (tRNA) molecules are approximately 80 nucleotides in length. Their secondary structure includes four short double-helical elements and three loops (D, anti-codon, and T loops). The record is from Rfam by way of RNAcentral. RNAcentral also lists the same sequence under 5 other names. Lineage: Eukaryota; Metazoa; Chordata; Mammalia; Artiodactyla; Bovidae.